Molecule: ribosomal RNA, 441 nt
Filed under: uncultured bacterium
Lineage: Bacteria
Description: partial 16S ribosomal RNA
Rfam family: Bacterial small subunit ribosomal RNA
Source: RNAcentral
CCUACGGGAGGCAGCAGUGGGGAAUAUUGCACAAUGGGGGGAACCCUGAUGCAGCGACGCCGCGUGGGUGAAGGAGUAUUUCGGUAUGUAAAGCCCUAUCAGCAGGGAAGAACAAUGACGGUACCUGACUAAGAAGCACCGGCUAAAUACGUGCCAGCAGCCGCGGUAAUACGGAUGGUGCAAGCGUUAUCCGGAUUUACUGGGUGUAAAGGGAGCGCAGGCGGCGCGUUAAGCCUGGUGUGAAAGCCCGCGGCCCAACCGCGGGACUGCAUUGGGAACUGGCGCGCUGGAGUGCCGGAGGGGUAGGCGGAAUUCGUGGUGUAGCGGUGAAAUGCGUAGAUAUUAGGAGGAACACCAGUGGCGAAGGCGGCUUACUGGACUGUAACUGACGUUGAGGCUCGAAAGCGUGGGGAGCAAACAGGAUUAGAUACCCGUGUAGUC